AACCAGGUUCAAGUCAACCCACAGCAGCAGCUUCCACCUACUGGGCAGUCUCAUACCCAAAUUCCAUCACAAAUACUUCCAGCUUCUCAUGCUCAGCCACCUACUCAGCCUCCGCCAUAUCCUCAGCCCUAUCCGAUGCAACCUCAUUCACAACAGCAUGUGCAGGUGCCACAGUAUCAGCAGCAUCCUGCCCAGGUUCACCCUCCCCAGUCUUCUCAAGCCCAACCGCAGCCGUUUGUGCAUCAACCUCAUUCACAACUUCAACCGCAGAUAAAUGUUCAACAUCAUCAACAAUCUCAUGGCCAAUUGCGCCCCCCUCAGGCUGGCCAACCUGCUCAUGGACAGACUCAGACCCUCCAUUCAACAGCCAAUGCAGUUUCAGGGUACAAUUCCUAUCCGCAACCCCAGCCCAUGCAGCAAAUGCCUAUAGGGUUUACACAGCAAACUCCAAUACGUCCACAUCCUACUAGUGGGCCUAUUCCUCCCGUUCAAACUCAUAGUCAGGUUCCUCAACAACCUCCUUUGCGCACCAAUCAGCAAUGG
This 543-nucleotide long non-coding RNA is filed under the name Nicotiana tabacum (common tobacco). RNAcentral describes it as "long non-coding RNA (NTAB_LNC003576)". The record is from RNAcentral. Lineage: Eukaryota; Viridiplantae; Streptophyta; Magnoliopsida; Solanales; Solanaceae.